Molecule: ribosomal RNA, 253 nt
Filed under: uncultured bacterium
Lineage: Bacteria
Description: partial 16S ribosomal RNA
Rfam family: Bacterial small subunit ribosomal RNA
Source: RNAcentral
UACGUAGGGGGCAAGCGUUGUCCGGAAUCAUUGGGCGUAAAGCGCGCGUAGGCGGCCCGGUAAGUCCGCUGUAAAAGUCCAGGGCUCAACCCUGGAAAGUCGGUGGAUACUGUCGGGCUAGAGUCCGGAAGAGGCGAGUGGAAUUCCUGGUGUAGCGGUGGAAUGCGCAGAUAUCAGGAGGAACACCGAUGGCGAAGGCAGCUCGCUGGGCCAUUCCUGACGCUGAGACGCGAAAGCUAGGGGAGCGAACAGG